CAACAACAACAAAACGGGUUCUGGGAGCGUGAGGCUGGGACUGGGACCCGGGCGACCUCAUUCCAUAUCCCUGUUUCAGGUGGGGGAAGUUGGAGACACGUUAGAGACCCCUCCACUCCAGGAAUCCACCUCGAGAGAUUAAGGUCCUGGCUCUAACCACACCCCCAAGACAAGGCCAGAGGUCGCCUCUCUAGGCGGGACCCCUCCCUCCCCACCGCCAGGUUCCCGGAGUGCGCGUGGUGUGGGGGGGGCGGGGGGCCGCAGGCGCGCGGACUGGAGCGGCGCGCCCCUCCCGCGUGUUGAAAUUCAAAAGAGGCAAACAACUCCCGGGCGCGGCGCAGCGCCGGUGGAGAGGUCAAGGCAGGGUCCAGUCGGAGGCUCCCAGGGCGGGGUCGAACCCGCUGCCGACGACGCAGCAUCGGAAGCUUAAAGAGCUCAGGUUCCCUCCCUACAGCCCUGCCAUGGCUACGGAGCAGUGGUUCGAGGGGUCGCUCUGCCUGGACCCUGGAGAAACACCACCUCCAGACGUCUUAAAACCUGGGACGCCGUCCUGCGCAGACCCCUCCCGGUCGACGCCCCCCAGCAGGCCUGGGGACCCACCUGAGCCGGACCCCGAAGAUGCUGAGGGGCAGCUGCCUGAAGCCCCGGCCUCCAUGCCUUCCUCAGAACCUCUGGUUCCCGGGCCCGGGCCAGCACCACCCCGCCUACCCUUGGAAACUUUGUUCAGCCCCAUUACCGAACAGCUGCGCUACCUACUCAAGAAGGCGGAUGAUUUCCAGAGCUACUUGCUCUACAGCAGAGAUCAAGUACAGAAGGAGCAGCUGGCCAAGGCCAUGCCCACAUUCUUACAGAUGUGUGAACCCUACUUCCUGUAUCUGGAGGCAGCCUCGAGAAGUGUACCCCCCAUCUAUGGAGUCCUGCAGGAGCUGGUCCGAAAGGGGCUGUUAGAGAUCUCCCAGCAGCUGACUCUGCGCCUGGAACAGCUGGUCCUCAUGUACGCUUCCUUUGGGUUUGUGGACCUGGAGGAGACAAACCCCCUUAGCAUCUCCUGUUUCUUUUGCGGGAGGUUCUCCAUCAGCAUGUCCCACGAGGUGUCCAUCUUCAGAUACUGUGCCCCAGCCGCCUACACUGCCAGCCGCUUCCCCCGAUACCUCUAUAAGAAGAUGCGCUGGCACCUGGAAACCAUCCCAGAGGCCCCUGGUCGGGGACAAGAUACCCUUGUGGAUUACUACUUCCUAUGCUAUCGAGAUACUUGGGAGGACACAGGCCAGACUCCUGCCAAUCCAUUCCCGCAGAUCCAGAAGCUGUGGUCCAUCGGCCGAUGGGUGCCCCUGGGACCAGCCGAGGAUGACCUUUAUUCGUGGAUUUUGUGCCCGCAGCCUCUUGGGGACUACCAGCAGCUGCUGACCAUCGGCUUCGAGGAGCCCUCGCCCAUGCUGGCCACCGACCUGCUGGUGCAGAUCCUCACGGGCCAGGCAGGCCAGGCCCGGCCUCCGAGCGCAGCCGGGCCCGCGGGGUGGGCGGCUCAAGGGUCUUGAAUCUGGGCGGACGAGAGUCUGGCGCAUGCGCAUAGGUGCACAUGAAGCAACAAGAGAAGCGGUGCCUGUCAACAACCGGAACCCAGAAAAUCUCAAGUUUCGGGUAGCGAGGAAAUUCAACGCCCACUGGAGGAAAAGACUUAAGACGGAGUCUCACUCUCGCCACGCUGGCUGCAGUGGUGCGAUCUCGGCUCACCGCAACCUCCGCCUCCCAGGUUCAAGCGAUUCUCCUGCCUCGGCCUCCUGAGUGGCUGGGACUACAGGCACCUGCCACCACGCCCAGCUAAUUUUUGUAUUUUUAGUAGAGAUGGGGUUUGUCCAUGUUGGUCAGGCUAGUCUCGAACUCCUGACCUCAGGUGAUCCACCUGCCUCGGCCUCCCAAAGUUCUAAGAUUACAGGUGUGAGCUCUUUCUCCCUCUCUCUUUUCUUUUUUUUGAGAUAGAGUCUUGCUGUUGCCAGGCGCCAGGCUGGAGUGCAGUGGCAUGAUCUCAGCUCACUGCAACUUCCACCUCCUGGGUUCAAGCAAUUCUCGUGCCUCAGCCUCCGGAGUAGCUGAGACCACAGGCACAUGCCACUAUGCCCGGCUAAUUUUUGUAUUUUUUAGUAGAGAUGGGGUUUCACCAUGGUCUUGAUCUCUUGACCUCAUGAUCCACCCACCUUGGCCUCUCACAGUGCUGGGAUAACAUUUUUUUAAAAAAGACUUUGUCCCUGCUAGUAUAUACAAUGGAGUGUGGGGGAAUAAAAGAGACUUUGUCUUGCUGUAUUGCC
Non-coding RNA from Callithrix jacchus (white-tufted-ear marmoset), 2306 nucleotides. The record is from RefSeq and is a predicted model, not a curated record. NCBI's taxonomy places the organism in Eukaryota, Metazoa, Chordata, Mammalia, Primates, Cebidae.